Molecule: transfer-messenger RNA, 377 nt
Filed under: Ramlibacter agri
Lineage: Bacteria; Pseudomonadati; Pseudomonadota; Betaproteobacteria; Burkholderiales; Comamonadaceae
Description: Standard tmRNA
Rfam family: transfer-messenger RNA
About the family: Bacterial tmRNA, also known as 10Sa RNA or SsrA, is named for its dual tRNA and mRNA-like properties. Its role is to liberate the mRNA from a stalled ribosome. To accomplish this part of the tmRNA is used as a reading frame that ends in a translation stop signal.
Source: Rfam by way of RNAcentral
GGGGCUGCACCGGUUUCGACGUGGGUUCGGACACGCAGCAGGGCAUGUCGAGGGUCAGAGUACCUCGUUAAUCCAGCUGAAACAAACUAACUGCGAACGACGAACGUUUCGCCCUCGCCGCUUAAUUGCCGGUGAGCCUUGCAACAGUUGGCCGAUGGGCUGGGUUAGGGUCGCAAGGUCCUAGCUGCAAGGGUACUUAACAUUGGCUGGCUUCCGGGCGGGUGCCUUGCCCGGAGGCGAGAUCCAAGGGCACUGGCUGCUGGCGUAGCAGUGCGACUGCGCGACGCGAGUGGCGAGAUCCAAAACAGAUCGCUAAACAUGUAGAACUGCUCGGAGAAGGCUUGCGGACGCGGGUUCAAUUCCCGCCAGCUCCACCA